Pistacia vera is the source of this 614-nucleotide long non-coding RNA. RefSeq lists it as uncharacterized. NCBI's taxonomy places the organism in Eukaryota, Viridiplantae, Streptophyta, Magnoliopsida, Sapindales, Anacardiaceae. The record is from RefSeq and is a predicted model, not a curated record. The transcript has 2 exons.
AUGCAUGAUUACAUCUUUAGAAUAUAAGUCAUUUCUUUGAGUACUAGUUAUAAUUAUGCCAUACUGUGUUUGCUUUUUUGGCCGUUGGAGAUGUUCUAACAGAAUUUUUUUUUUUUUCAUUCAGUAUCAAUUCUUUGUUUUCACUUGACUGAAUUUACCUUCUUAUCCUUUUCUUCUCAGUAUCAUGAAAAUAUCCGUCUCUUCUGUCAAACUCGUGAGAACAUCUUCAAAUUAUUAAAUGGCUUGAAUGAAAUGCCAGAAACAAUGAGGCAGAUGCCGCCUCUUCCGGUGAAGGUUGACACAACAGCUACUUAACUCCAUCCUUCCCCCUUCCAAACAUUGAAACAUCCCAUAGCAAUCAUGAUCUUGCCUUGUCGUUGCUUCGAUUCUGGUGUGAUAGCCACCUAUGUGAUCCAACCUGCAGUGACACUGAUGGAAGUAACCGGCAAAAGCAAUCAAGUUGACCCUUUUCCAAUUUGAACUGACCUCUCUCUAGUCAAUUAGUUGGAAGUUUUAUGAAAUAGUUUGUGCAGUAGGUGGUGAUUUUAGAUUGGUAGAAAAUAGGAAACAAUAAUUUAUCAAUGGCUAGUGUUAUUAAGUUUUGUGUGAAUUUA